UGUGAAUACAGAGGAAGAUACCAUCAUCCAUGUAAUAAAGCUCCGUAUGUAAACAGGAGCAGAUAAACAAAACCUGUAAAUAACUGACCAUAAUAUGCAGUCUCAAUUACAGGGCCCACUAUUUCCAUCUUGAGCACAACUCACAAGAAUAUGAGCCCAUCCAAGGGACUCCAAUAAAGUAAGUGACAACAAAGGAAGACAAAUAACACUCUAAGGCUGAUUAUUUUCUCCUGUGAUGUGGUCAAGGCUUUUGGCCACAAGUAGACACUGUGUUCUACUGGAGAAGUUAGCAAAAGUGCUGGCAGGGUGCUCUAAGCCUAUGCUCCUCAAAGUGGACCAGCAGCAUCCAUACCAACUGGAAAUAUUGGAAGUAUAGACUUUUAGAAACCACCCUAGACCUACAGAUCAGAAUCUGCAUUUUCACCAGAU
Molecule: long non-coding RNA, 429 nt
Organism: Lynx canadensis (Canada lynx)
Lineage: Eukaryota; Metazoa; Chordata; Mammalia; Carnivora; Felidae
Exons: 3
Source: RefSeq, a predicted model, not a curated record